AUUGUAAAUUCAAGGCUGUAGCAGAAGUGCCCAUAGCGCGGCCUGUCAGAUUCCAACGAAUCUGCAAAUUCUGCU
Molecule: ribozyme, 75 nt
Filed under: Crocodylus porosus (Australian saltwater crocodile)
Lineage: Eukaryota; Metazoa; Chordata; Crocodylia; Crocodylidae
Description: Mammalian CPEB3 ribozyme (ENSCPRG00005013549.1)
Rfam family: Mammalian CPEB3 ribozyme
About the family: The mammalian CPEB3 ribozyme is a self cleaving RNA located in the second intron of the CPEB3 gene which belongs to a family of genes regulating messenger RNA polyadenylation. This ribozyme is highly conserved and found only in mammals.
Source: Rfam by way of RNAcentral